This 204-nucleotide long non-coding RNA is filed under the name Capsicum annuum. RNAcentral describes it as "long non-coding RNA (CANN_LNC010340)". The record is from RNAcentral. Lineage: Eukaryota; Viridiplantae; Streptophyta; Magnoliopsida; Solanales; Solanaceae.
ACUCAUUAUUUUCGUUUUAUCCAUGAAUUUUCACAUGUCUCAUAUGUCAAUAAAGUAUGAAUAUAAUCACAAUACACCAAUGGUACCACGUUAAAUAUUUUAAUAACACAAUACAAUUAUUCACAUGUAUUCAAGGCUAUCAAUAUCACAUAGGACCCCACACGGUCACACAUAUCACAUAAUAUUUUAAUUUCGAUAAUUAUA